This 194-nucleotide unclassified non-coding RNA is filed under the name soil metagenome. RNAcentral's name for it is "partial contains 5.8S ribosomal RNA, internal transcribed spacer 2, and large subunit ribosomal RNA". The record is from RNAcentral.
AACGGUCUAUACCUGCGGUACCUGCGGAAGGAUCAUUAAAAAAAGGGUCUUUUGACCCAUUUUUUAAAACUCACUACCAUUCUAGCCCAUCGGGUCAGAUGGAAGUGAGUUUUUUCAAACACCAAAAUUUUAAACUAUUCGUCUUUUGACGAAACCCAAAAUUAAUAAAAUAAAACUUUUAACAAUGGAUCUCU